Molecule: ribosomal RNA, 279 nt
Filed under: uncultured bacterium
Lineage: Bacteria
Description: partial 16S ribosomal RNA
Rfam family: Bacterial small subunit ribosomal RNA
Source: RNAcentral
UGCCAGCCGCCGCGGUAAUACGGAGGGUGCAAGCGUUGUUCGGAAUUAUUGGGCGUAAAGCGCGUGUAGGCGGUUCGUUAAGUCUGAUGUGAAAGCCCGGGGCUCAACCCCGGAAGUGCAUUGGAAACUGGCGAACUUGAGUACGGGAGAGGAAAGUGGAAUUCCGAGUGUAGAGGUGAAAUUCGUAGAUAUCAGGAGGAACACCGAUGGCGAAGGCAGCUUUCUGGACCGAUAUUGACGCUGAGGCGCGAAGGCGUGGGUAGCGAACGGGAUUAGAUA